This 278-nucleotide ribosomal RNA is filed under the name uncultured bacterium. RNAcentral describes it as "partial 16S ribosomal RNA". It matches the Rfam family "Bacterial small subunit ribosomal RNA", at positions 74 to 354 of the family's 1533-position model. The record is from RNAcentral.
CCUGCACCUGCCGGCGACCGGCGCACGGGUGAGUAACACGUAUGGAACCUGCCCGCCACAGGGGGAUAACCCGGGGAAACCCGGCCUAAUACCCCAUGCCGUCCGGACCGGGCAUCCGGUCCGGGCGAAAGGAGGAAUCCGGUGGCGGCUGGGCAUGCGGCGCAUUAGCUUGACGGCGGGGUAACGGCCCACCGUGGCGACGAUGCGUAGGGGUUCUGAGAGGAAGGCCCCCCACACUGGAACUGAGACACGGUCCAGACUCCUACGGGAGGCAGCAG